GGGCCUUUAGCUCAGCUGGCUAGAGCACCUGCUUUGCAAGCAGGGGGUCCAGGGUUCGAAUCCCUGAAGGUCCA
RNAcentral lists this transfer RNA (74 nucleotides) under Candidatus Magasanikiibacteriota bacterium. RNAcentral's name for it is "tRNA-Ala". It matches the Rfam family "tRNA". From Rfam's summary of the family: Transfer RNA (tRNA) molecules are approximately 80 nucleotides in length. Their secondary structure includes four short double-helical elements and three loops (D, anti-codon, and T loops). The record is from RNAcentral. Lineage: Bacteria; Candidatus Magasanikiibacteriota.